AAUUGUUCUUCAAUGCUAGGUCUUGCUUAUGAAUCGUACCAACUUGGACGCCCACGAGCCGCACCAGUAUCAAAUACCGAUGAAUUCAUUUACCGAAACCUACCUACAAAGCACCAUGUCCUAAGAAAGGUUCCCGACUGUCGCCACUGUGGGGCAUUGCGGUUUCCAUUUGAGGGCCCAGCAUUUUGUUGCAGAAAAGGAAAAGUCGAUAUUAUUACUCCAGACAUUCCAGAAGAGCUGAAACGGUUGUUUACAAGUCAAGAUGAUGAGGAUGCUAAAUAUUUUAGAGAGCAUAUACGGUAUUUCAACUCGCACUUCUCAUUCACAACUCUAGGAGUCACUCUUGAUCGCCGAGUAAGCACAGCGGCAGGAACUGGAGUAUAUACAUUUCGUGCAUGUGGUGGCUUAUACCACGCUCUUGAUGGUCUGGUGCCGGCUGAUAAUGGACCUCGGCAUUUGCAGCUUUAUAUUUAUGAUACAGAUCAAGACUUGGUUCACAGGGCUAUGAGGUCUCCAGAUCUUAAUAUAGACCUCAUACGAAAGAUUCUGCGAAUACUUGAGCGUAACCCUUAUGCACAAGUUUUAAAGAGCCUUGGGUCUGUUCCAAAUCUAGAUGAGUAUAGGAUCUCACUAAACACGGAUAUCAACUUGGAUCAACGAAGGUACAAUGCCCCAACGACUUCUCAGGUGGCAGCGAUAUGGGUUGAAGGGAGCGACCCAAAGAAUUGCUUUGACAGAAGUGUUGUCGUACAUGGAAAAAAAGGAGACCGGCCCCUAUAUAUUAGAGCAUACUAUGGGUGCUACGACCCAUUGUCAUAUCCACUAUUCUUCCCACGUGGGGAGACUGGUUGGAAUCGUAGGAUGCCAUAUGUUGGCCCCCUCGAUGACACCACACAAUGUUCAUCGGGUAACCCUGCACCCCAAGUAAACCAAACCUCUGAUUUAUAUGCAGGUAUGAGGUUCAUUAUUCAUUUAUAUACUUGCUAUUAU
This 990-nucleotide ribosomal RNA is filed under the name Triticum aestivum (bread wheat). RNAcentral's name for it is "partial small subunit ribosomal RNA". Lineage: Eukaryota; Viridiplantae; Streptophyta; Magnoliopsida; Poales; Poaceae. The record is from RNAcentral.